This 255-nucleotide ribosomal RNA is filed under the name uncultured Eubacteriales bacterium. RNAcentral describes it as "uncultured Clostridiales bacterium partial 16S ribosomal RNA". It matches the Rfam family "Bacterial small subunit ribosomal RNA", at positions 547 to 802 of the family's 1533-position model. The record is from RNAcentral. Lineage: Bacteria; Bacillati; Bacillota; Clostridia; Eubacteriales.
GGAAUCAUUGGGCGUAAAGGGUACGUAGGCGGCUAGAAAAGUUAGAAGUCAAGGGCUAUAGCUCAACUAUAGUAAGCUUCUAAAACUAUUUAGCUUGAGAAAUGGAAGGGAAAGUGGAAUUCCUAGUGUAGCGGUGGAAUGCGCAGAUAUUAGGAAGAAUACCGGUGGCGAAGGCGACUUUCUGGCCAUUAUCUGACGCUGAGGUACGAAAGCGUGGGUAGCAAACAGGAUUAGAUACCCUGGUAGUCAAGGGCG